Molecule: ribosomal RNA, 263 nt
Filed under: Shewanella putrefaciens
Lineage: Bacteria; Pseudomonadati; Pseudomonadota; Gammaproteobacteria; Alteromonadales; Shewanellaceae
Description: partial 16S ribosomal RNA
Rfam family: Bacterial small subunit ribosomal RNA
Source: RNAcentral
GGGGAUGACGUCAAGUCAUCAUGGCCCUUACGAGUAGGGCUACACACGUGCUACAAUGGUCAGUACAGAGGGUUGCGAAGCCGCGAGGUGGAGCUAAUCCCAUAAAGCUGGUCGUAGUCCGGAUUGGAGUCUGCAACUCGACUCCAUGAAGUCGGAAUCGCUAGUAAUCGUGGAUCAGAAUGCCACGGUGAAUACGUUCCCGGGCCUUGUACACACCGCCCGUCACACCAUGGGAGUGGGCUGCACCAGAAGUAGAUAGCUUA